CCCUUAGAUGUCCGGGGCUGCACGCGCGCUACACUGAAGGAAUCAGCGUGCUAAAACCAUUGUCGAAAGGCAUUGGUAAACCCAUUAAAAUCCUACGUGAUUGGGAUCGGGAAUUGCAAUUAUUUCCCUUGUACGAGGAAUUCCCAGUAAGUGUGGGUCAUAAGCUCGCGUUGAUUACGUCCCUGCCCUUUGUACACACCGCCCGUCGCUGCCCGGGACUGAGCCGUUUCGAGAAAAGCGGGGACUGCUGCUGUCGGGGCUUUCGGGCCUUGGCUUCGGUGGAAACCGCUUUAAUCGCAGUGGCUUGAACCGGGCAAAAGUCGUAACA
This 328-nucleotide ribosomal RNA is filed under the name uncultured eukaryote. RNAcentral's name for it is "partial 18S ribosomal RNA". It matches the Rfam family "Eukaryotic small subunit ribosomal RNA", at positions 1470 to 1796 of the family's 1831-position model. The record is from RNAcentral.